RNAcentral lists this ribosomal RNA (633 nucleotides) under Triticum aestivum (bread wheat). Its description in RNAcentral is "partial small subunit ribosomal RNA". Lineage: Eukaryota; Viridiplantae; Streptophyta; Magnoliopsida; Poales; Poaceae. The record is from RNAcentral.
AUGGGGGUACAAGGACUGGUGGGCAAGGUUUCAUCAUGGAAUGUGAUCCUUUCUCCUGAGAUCAUCUUAAUUGUGAGUUCCAUUUUUGGAAGAUCAAAGGUAACUGGACUGUGUGUAUACAUCCAAUCAGCCCCUAAGAUCAUAUCAUAUCCACACAAUUUAAGGAUUCUGAAAUCUGAAAAAGUGUGUCCUUGGAUUGAGUACUCUGUUUUAAAGCAAGCAAAAUCACUGGCAAGUUUUCCCCCGUUGGCUACAGUCACCUGCACAUGCUUCACUGGUGAUAUCACACAACCAGAUUUAAGGGCUAUUUCUGGUGAUAGAAAAGUGGUUGUGCUACCACUAUCAACUGGCCUCACCGACCAGUUCUUCCGCCGCCGACACCCUGUACGCCACCUGAGAGUAGCACUAGAAGGGUGGGUUGGGUGGGAUUUUACUCUGAAGAAGUGUUCUUCAGAAACCUCCGCCGCAAACCUUCUUGCUACCGAUCGAUCUACCGCCGCCGUUCGCCUCCCUACUGCUCACCGCCGCCUUCUGCCCCGCAUCCAGAUCGGAUCUGGCUCCAAUUCGCCACCGCCAAGGCCAAAACCUUGCUCUGAUUACCACUUGACAGGAUCGAACUAUGAACUGUCCUAA